GUGUGGGUGGUCGGCGGCGGCAGCGGCAGCCAGCCAGAAACACAACAGCAAAACACAAAAGCGGGAGCAAGCCGGUAAAAUGUCCCAGAGCUGCCAUCUGCCCCCUCCCCCCUCCCUUAAUCGUGCCAGCUGGUAGCCUCACAUGGUCUUAUAAACUACCGGUAGAGAGUGAUUCGCCUGUUUUCCUAGCUUUGUGUCUUUAACUUUCGCUUUCGUCGGCUGAGGGUGUAGGCCCGAGUCUACGUCCCGGCGUGUUGACGGGCAGCGUUUGUGCCCUCACUCACUCGGGUGAGGGGGUGAGUACCCUGCCCUGUCCUGUCCCGUCCUGUCCUGUUGUGUGUUUGUGUCCCCAAUCCCGCCCGCCGGGAGGGUUGCGAUCUGUUGUGGAUCUGUUGUGUUGGUUCUUGGACGAUCGGAUCGAGACGGCUGUCGGGCGACACCUAGCGGCGGCAGUAAGCUACAACACGCCUGGUCCCCGGGCGCUCGGUGACAAGGGCGGUGACUCGCCUGCAGUCAGCCGACCAGAGCGACGAGAAUCCAGGCACGCUGGCGGGUGUGUCCCGGAGGCGGUGCGACGUUUGUGAACGGUCUCUGUGCAGGAGGUUGUACCGGUAGAAUAAACGAGAAGGUGGUGGCUGUUCUGUGUGCUACCAUGGCCAGAUGGAGGUGUGGUGGCGGCUUGAGCUGGUCGACCAGAAGCCUUUUAAAAGUCCUUCACGUCCCGUAACUGUAACUAACCCUCGGUCCCCGGCGGUGGUCUCGGCGACCCGAGGCCGAGAGGAAGCGCUGUUCCCGGAUUCACUAGCGGGCCGGGACCCGGGAUUCUCUGGGUGCCUCGGAACAUUUUAUCUUGUGUGCGUGCGGUAGCCACCCUCGGUCGAUCCCCGGCGGUGGUCUCGGCGACCCGAGGCCGAGAGGAAGCGCUGUUCCCGGAUUCACUAGCGGGCCGGGGCCCGGGAUUCUCUGGGUGCCUCGGAACAUUUUAUCUUGUGUGCGUGCGGUAGCCACCCUCGGUCGGUCCCCGGCGGUGGUCUCGGCGACCCGAGGCCGAGAGGAAGCGCUGUUUCCGGCCUCACUGCCUGCUAGUUCCCGGUUCCUUGUAGGGUCAGACUUUGUUUUUCUUCGACGUGUCCUCCCAUCCCGGGCUCCUGCCCUCCGGGUCCUUGCCCGAGAGGAUGCCGGUGUGUGCCGAUCUUUUCUGCAUGUCUACCUCGCUCUUGGUCCU
RNAcentral lists this long non-coding RNA (1225 nucleotides) under Cricetulus griseus (Chinese hamster). Its description in RNAcentral is "lncRNA (ENSCGRG00015030743.1)". The record is from RNAcentral. Lineage: Eukaryota; Metazoa; Chordata; Mammalia; Rodentia; Cricetidae.